RNAcentral lists this ribosomal RNA (1410 nucleotides) under Chirodiscoides sp. AD573. Its description in RNAcentral is "partial 28S ribosomal RNA". It matches the Rfam family "Eukaryotic large subunit ribosomal RNA", at positions 73 to 1269 of the family's 3401-position model. The record is from RNAcentral. Lineage: Eukaryota; Metazoa; Arthropoda; Arachnida; Sarcoptiformes; Atopomelidae.
GAUUUCCUUAGUAACGGCGAGCGAAAAGGAAAUUGUUCAGCGCCAAGUCUUGACAUUUAAAUGUUCAAGAGAUGCGGCGUUAAUGUGUUGGCGCUUCGUGCDUUGUUUUUUGUUUCAAGUUCCCUUGACUGGGACCCCAAAGUGGGUGCUAGGCCCAUAGAAACAAAGAGCUGACGUAUGCUGGYUAAUGCAUUUUAGAGUCAGGUUGCUUGAGAGUGCAGCUUAAAGUCGGUGGUAAACUCCAUCUAAGACUAAAUAUUACAGCGAGACCGAUAGCAAACAAGUMCCGUGAGGGAAAGUUGCAAAGCACUUUGAAGAGAGAGUUCAACAGUACGUGAAACCACUGGGAGGCAAACAGAUGGAACUACGAAGUUUGCGCUUUAGCCGAUUCAAUCUUUGGUAUUGAUAUAUUAUUGUUGGAAAGMAUCKUUUSSAAGAYUGYCUAAUAAWAAUAUGGUUGAUGCCAUUGGUGCAUUUCGUGCURGRGAUGCUAAGCCACGUUYGAUUAGUGUUGGGACGGCUGUAGGAYAGAAUUUAGAAAAGGUGKCCGUUACGUGCUUGCAUGUAGCGGYGUUAUAGUUCUAAAUUGGAACCGUCGCCUAACGURCUGAUCRAUAAAAUUUCUCCAUAUGGAGUURAACCAURMCUGCCUAUGGUUGRUAGAAUGCAUUUCGAUGUGUCKUUUGCRUGUYUUUGGAUGCGUAAAGMCAUGUCAACARUGUAGGYUAUCAGCUGUUUGCGUGGURUGGUGGAACUGUGGCACGAGUAGGUCAGUCUCCAUCUGACCCGUCUUGAAACACGGACCAAGGAGCCUACCAUAUACGCAAGUCACUCGGUCUUGUUUAGGCCUGGGAGGCGAAAUGAAAGUAACGCUAUGAAGCUUCGGCUGCAAUAGUGGCACGCCUACUUCGUUUAUUGGCGAUCAGGCGUAGCUGGAGCGUAUACGGUGGUACCCGAAAGAUGGUGAACUAUGCCUGGGCAAGACGAAGCCAGAGGAAACUCUGGUGGAGGUCUGUAGCGAUUCUGACGUGCAAAUCGAUCGUCAGACCUGGGUAUAGGGGCGAAAGACUAAUCGAACCAUCUAGUAGCUGGUUCCCUCCGAAGUUUCCCUCAGGAUAGCAGGCGCUUGUUAUGAUCAGUCUCAUCCGGUAAAGCUAAUGAUUAGAGGUCUUGGGGUUGAAACGACCUCAACCUAUUCUCAAACUUUAAAUGGGUGAGAUGGUUGACUUUCUUGAUUGAAGCCAACCAAUUGGAUGUAAGUGCCUAGUGGGCCAUUUUUGGUAAGCAGAACUGGCGCUGUGGGAUGAACCAAACGUCGAGAUAAGGCAUCAAAUGCAUACGCUCAUGAGACCCCAUGAAAGGUGUUGGUUGCUAUAGACAGCAGGACGGUGGCCAUGGAAGUCGGAAUCC